Non-coding RNA from Cyanistes caeruleus (blue tit), 1716 nucleotides. Lineage: Eukaryota; Metazoa; Chordata; Aves; Passeriformes; Paridae. The record is from RefSeq and is a predicted model, not a curated record.
UUUAAAAAUGUCUCCCUAUCUUAAUCUUUGAGAGAUGGAUAAAACUGCUGUAAAUCCUAAACAAAAACAACUACUGUUUUGAAUCUUCCAUUCUGCCAACAGCAGGUAAACAAAAAUUUUCUCAUUAGCAACAAUGUCUGGGAAUGGAAGUAAAAUUCCACUCUGGGUCCCAGAGCUUCCCAGAAAUGUGAUUACAUAGAAAUGUACAUCCCGUGCUUGAAAUGACACUUCAAGCCUUCUGGACUAUGGAAACUUCAGAAGACCCUCAAAACCAAAGAUGAACCACUCCACACUAUCCAAGGCAGGAGCAAUGCUGUUUACAGCUCUGCUUCAGAAGUGAUGUCCUUCCCAGGCACUGCUCAUUGGUAGGGACAUGAAACAAAUUGGGUUUUGUUUCCUUUUUAGAACUCAUCAAACACUGAACAACAAAUGCAAAAAGUUCCCUUAUUUUGAUAAAACAAUUUUUUUCCAUAACCCUUGAUGAAUUCUGCCGUGUUGAAAAGCCAGGAGUUAACUGGGAAACCCCACAAGCACUGCUUGGCCUGCCAGAGUGUGAACGAAGGAUGGAGCUGAGGGGUCUUACUGUCCCACAGGUCUUCCAACAUUGUUGGAUUACUAGGCUGAAGCCUAAAAAGCAAGAAAUUUGAUCAAUUCCCAAAGGAGACUAGGGCUUUUCAAAUCUUCCAGGACCUUGCAAGUCCUCUGGGAGCUCAGUAAAACCUGAAACAUUUGCUUGAUUUCUCUCCCUGAAGGAUUGCAGUUGUGGGUGUGAAGGUUUGGGGAUUUUCCACUGCCUUGUGGCUUUGUUUUCAUCUUGGUGAGCUGCUGCUAUGAGCGAAAGGUUUACAGUUUUGCCAGUGGUAUAUGUAAAGGGGUCUUUUUCUGAACCUCAGAAAAAAACAUUAUGAAUUAGACUAUUACAGUUUUACAGGUGAAAAAAGCUAAAGCAAUUGAAGGAGAAGGAAUCUAGGCAUGUUAAAGAGCAGUCUCACUUGGAAGUAGGACCAGCAUUUUACAAUGUCUAAACAAUUUGUUGAGGAGGCUGGUGAAAACUGUGAAAAGAGACAAAUUUGGAAGGAUAAUUAGAGAGGAUCAAGAUGAAAUACUAGCUGUCAGGAAGCAGAAAGUAUUUUAAACUAGUGCUAGCAGAUGCUUCAAGUAUUACUCUGCACAGACAAGAGGAAAAUGUGUGUGGAGAUUACCCCAACUUAUGAGAAUAAGAAAGGGAUAGAGCGAUAGGGAAUAUAAAACACAGUCAUUAUUGAUGCAGUUCUUUUCUUCUCUCUUUGCAGAAGACAGAAAUGAAAGUUGUAUGAGUCUUUGCAGAUUUAUCCUGAUAGACUGGAAUUACGAAAGUUCACGAGUGCUCCAGGAGCCACAUGAGGAUAAAUAUAGAUUCAAUCAAAUCAAAUCAAGUUUGGCAAUAAAGAUGUAAGAAGUGAAUUACUUUCAGCUUGCCCCAAGUUGUUUAACUGAACCAGGACAAUUUAUGAAGCAACCAGGAAGGAGGGAGAGAGGGAGAGAGAGAGAUGCUACUUAUGGAAAAGCUACACAGAACUACACAUCACUUGACACCAGAGAAUGCAGCAGGAAAUUUUCAAAAUCCAAAACUAUAGGAAAACCUAUAGUCAGAAUUUGCACUGGCUUAGACUAUGCAGUUCAUCUUCACAAGCAGCAUAAACAAGGCUUCAUUAAUCACAGAGCUCCUGGAAAUAC